UUUUGCUUUUCAUCACCUGCAAGAUUUACAUAAAAAUCACAUAAGCUGGAAUUCAACAAAAGACCUCCGACUAUGUGAAGAUACAGUGGGAAGAUGACUGUCUGCAAGGCAGGAAGAGAGCCCUCACUGAGGAACCAAAUUGGCCAGUAUCUUGAUCUUGGAUUUCUCAGCCUCGAGAACCAUGAGAAAUGAAUGUCUAUUGUUCAAGCCACCCAGUUUAUGAAAAGGUUUGGAAACCUUCAUCUAGAAAGUGGUCUAGCAAAGUGUGGUCCAUGGAUGAGUUUGAUCUGCAAAGUGCUUGUUAUUGGUUCAUGACAAGGUCCACCAAUUGCAUUUUGAGAGCUCAGAUAAGCAGAGAGCAAUGCAAUUUGUCACGGAAGGAUGAUUAUGUAUAUGCACUGUCAUGUCUAUUUCCAUGCCUAACUCAAAGGAGACACAGGGAGAAAGUGAGCUUAGCCUGGGUAAAUUGGAGGUUGUGAUGACUUCUAGGAAGCCUCAGGAAAGAGAAACAAAGACAACGCUGGCCUGCUGCUCUCUGCAAUGGUGGGACCCUUGUGGGAUAACUGUUUUAGGAAUGAAGGUGUCUACCCUCUCUAGAAAUGAAAACGCAAGUUUGGCUGUGGUUAAGUAUUGGAUGGACGCAAAAAGAAACUGACAUAUUUGCUUCUUUUCAAUUGUUUGAUUCACCCUGAAGGGCAUGGCUGCCUAAUUUUUUUCUCCAGAGAUAGGUGGACAGAUAAAGACAGGAAAGUAACAUCCGCAGACUGCCCUCUGUGAAGGUGACAGUGAUGAAGGGAACGCUUGAUCUGAACACUGGUAAAUAAAGUGACCGCAUAUUUCCCUAGCCAGGAGAGCAAUCUGGCUCAAAAGAAACGAGAACAAUGACAUUACUGCCAGGCUGCUCCUAAGCCUUUGGCUAUUCUGUUCAGUGCACAUAAAAAGCAGUGAACAUAGCUGUGACCUGCCUUGUUGGCAGUAUCACAAUUCUUUGGGGCUCCACUUUGAGAAAUUGAGACCUACCUACCUUAACCCUGGGGGCGGGUUAAGCUUUCAGACUGGAAUCAUAACUGAACUAUUCAUUUGCAGUAAUUCUGGGUUUUGUGCAUAUUUUAAAAAGGAAUACCGGGCUUGCCUAUAUUCAUUACAACGUCCUCCCAGCUUUCAAAUCUUCCAAUACAAUGCCUCUUCUCUAGUCUUUUAAGCACAUCCUGUGACUGGAUAUGAUUAUGGGAGAUUUACAUGCAUCCUUGUCUAUUGUAUCAAAAGAUCAGCGAAUAAAAUGCCCAUCAUUAAAACCCCAAAGUGAUUGGAUUGGCAUGAGGAAUGGG
Molecule: long non-coding RNA, 1328 nt
Filed under: Pongo abelii (Sumatran orangutan)
Lineage: Eukaryota; Metazoa; Chordata; Mammalia; Primates; Hominidae
Description: lincRNA
Source: RNAcentral